UCUGAUCAAGUUGUCAAGUCAGUUGAAGAUACUUUGAAGGCACUUGGUGCUGUAACAACAUAUGAUUUACAGUACAUCACAGAGGGAGACUUGCUGCCAGUAUUAAAGCCCAUCCAAGCCAGAAGACUGGUUGCUGCUUGGGCCCAAAGCAACUCAUCCACUCCAGCUCCAGCCCUGGCAUGUUCCUCUCCAGUGUCUAUCCUUUCCUCUCCCUCCUCGGUCACUCACUCACCAUCAGCAUCCACAGCUUCAUCAUCAUCACCAUCAGCAAGCUCUUAUCAACUUGUGGCAAACUGGGUAGACAGUUUUCAGAUACCAUGGCAGAAGCUCCCUGAAGAGUUAGUCCAGAGUUUGGAAAGACAGAAAAGGCCAAGUCCGCGACUACAACGAGAAAUGAGUCCUCCUGCUUUGCAGCUGAGACAUUUAUGUUGAGCUUCGACAAAGAGGUUGUCAACGACCACAUCACUUCCUUCACAUCUGCCAUUUGCCUGAUGUUUGGGAGUUACUACUGCUUCAACAUACACUACCAGGUGG
This is a long non-coding RNA of Toxotes jaculatrix (banded archerfish), 534 nucleotides long. RefSeq lists it as uncharacterized. Lineage: Eukaryota; Metazoa; Chordata; Actinopteri; Toxotidae. The transcript has 3 exons. The record is from RefSeq and is a predicted model, not a curated record.